GCUGGGCAUGGUGGUGCGUGCCUGUGGUCCCAGCUACUCAGGAGGCUAAGAUGGGAGGAUCACUUGAGCCCAGGAGGUCGAGGCUGCAGUGAGCUGUGAUCACACCACUGCACUCUAGCCUUGGCAACAGAGUGAGACCUUGUCUCAA
This is an unclassified non-coding RNA of Pongo abelii (Sumatran orangutan), 148 nucleotides long. It matches the Rfam family "Metazoan signal recognition particle RNA". From Rfam's summary of the family: The signal recognition particle (SRP) is a universally conserved ribonucleoprotein. It is involved in the co-translational targeting of proteins to membranes. NCBI's taxonomy places the organism in Eukaryota, Metazoa, Chordata, Mammalia, Primates, Hominidae. The record is from Ensembl.